CACCAAACUCCUCCAGGAAAGCUCAGCAGCAGCAAUCACGGCUGCUAACGCGGAAUUCCCAGGGUUGCCCGAAAUCAACCGGCAUGGGGCUGCUCCUCAGCUCGAAACGCGACGUCAGUGAGCCGCUACCUACCACACCCGUUAGUAAUGCUCACCACCGUAGAUGGGAUCUCCCGGUGCAACAACCUGUAAGAGUCGCCGGAGCGACUGCAAAGCAGUGGCCGGGCUUCCUUUCCCGGGGUCCCGGGGUCCCGGGGAGGCCGGGCGGGAGUCGGAAUCCCGGAGUCCAGCCGCUCCGCGCCGGUCCAGACUGGCCGGGAUGCUGACUGGGGGAGGGGUCCGUAGCGCCUCCCCCAUCGGGAAGGUGCAAGCUACAGUGGAAACUGGCCUCACGGAGAAUGAAGAGAACCAUUGCCGGUCCUCGCGUGAGGACCUCGCCCAGACUGGAAAAUGGAGCCG
This 459-nucleotide long non-coding RNA is filed under the name Rattus norvegicus (Norway rat). RNAcentral describes it as "long non-coding RNA NONRATT004282". The record is from RNAcentral. Lineage: Eukaryota; Metazoa; Chordata; Mammalia; Rodentia; Muridae.